GACACUGAGGCACGAAAGCUAGGGGAGCGAAACAGAUUAGAUACCUGUGUAGUCCUAGCCGUAAACGAUGCUCGCUAGCUCUUGGCCGCAAGGUCGGGGGUGUAAGCUAACGCGUUAAGCGAGCCGCCUGGGGAGUACGGCCGCAAGGCUAAAACUCAAAGGAAUUGACGGGGACCCGCACAACCUGUGGAGCGUGUGGUUCAAUUCGAGACGAAACGAAGGACCUCACCAGGGUUUGACAUGCUACCGUACAUUCUUUCAGAAAUGAGAGGAAAUCCGCAAGGAUGGUAGCACAGGUGCUGCAUGGCUGUCGUCAGCUCGUGCCGUGAGGUGUUCCCUUAAGUGGGGAAACGAGCGCAACCCCCAUCCAAUGUUACAUAUUCAUUGGAAACAGUCCUUGUUUUACAAGGAAGGAAGGCGGGGUAGACGUCAAGUCAGCACGGCCCUUAUACCCUGGGCCACACACACUACAAUGGCGAAAAACAAUGAGCUGCAAGCUAGCAAUAGUAAGCUAAUCUCUGAAAUUUCGCCUCAGUUCAGAUUGGGGUCUGCAACCCGACCCCAUGAAGCCGGAAUAGGUAGUAAUCGCGGAUCAGCAAGCCGCGGUGAAUACGUUCUCGGGUCGUGUACACACCGCCCGU
This 641-nucleotide ribosomal RNA is filed under the name uncultured soil bacterium. RNAcentral describes it as "bacterial SSU rRNA". It matches the Rfam family "Bacterial small subunit ribosomal RNA", at positions 742 to 1397 of the family's 1533-position model. The record is from RNAcentral.